GUAACCCCAGACACCUGCACAUUCUCAUUCGGUGCUCAGUGGUCAUCAUCCCCUUCACCAUCCUCCUCUUCUUUCUCCUUCAUCUCUGGUGCUCUGACAAAAGAAUACGUCUCACAAAGCAGAGUCCAGAGACCGCAGGGCCAUGUGUGGAAGCAGGAUGGAGCAUGCAGAUGCUGCAGUCAAAGACCAAGAGCCUGGGGCGGACAGAACAGUGAACAGGGAGGUAGGUCCUCCUCGGCCCAGCCUCAGGAAUGGGGUCUUAUUCCCUAAUAGUCCCGAAGAAUGUGAGCCCCUCCCUCAGUCAACGUUUCCCUCUCUUCAGGACUCUGAUGAACAAGACUCUCAGGAGGUGACAUUUGCACAGCUGGAUCAAUGCGUUUUCACACAGAGAAAAAUCACUCGCCCUUCUCAGAGGCCCAAGAGACCCCCAACAGAAACCAGUGUAUACAUGGAACUCCCAAAUGCUGAGCCCAGAUUGCUGUCUCCUGUCCAUGAGAACCAUAGACAGGCCUUGAGGGGUCCUCUAGGGAGACAAUGGCCCUGUCUCAAACCCUGCUUGCCAGCUCCAAUGUAACAGCACCUGGGACCUGAAGGCGUGAGUCUGCAUCUUAGGGGAUUGCUCUUCCUCACAGCAUGAAUCUGAACGUGGCUGUCUCUCACUUACAAUUGUCUGCGGUCCUCACUGCCUGCUGGAGAGAAAACACACUUGUUUGCUUCACACACAAUUCUCCUUUUUACUUGACCCCUGCCCACCUCUCCAACCUACCUGGCUUACUUCCUGGUCCUACCUGAGGCUGCAGUCACACUGAGGAACUCACAAGUCCAGACUAGAAGAGGCUCCCUCUUAACACAGCACUUAGACACAUGCUGUUCCAGUUUUCCUCAUGCUGUUCCACAUUCCCUCAGACUUUGAGGGAUUUUGCAGCCUUCUGUCUCCAGUAAAAUUUUUAAGUUCUUUUUAUAUAUAAUUUUGAUGUAGUUCUCCUCAAAUAAAC
Molecule: long non-coding RNA, 995 nt
Filed under: Aotus nancymaae (Ma's night monkey)
Lineage: Eukaryota; Metazoa; Chordata; Mammalia; Primates; Aotidae
Description: lncRNA (ENSANAG00000039006.1)
Source: RNAcentral